GAUGAACGCUGGCGGCGUGCUUAACACAUGCAAGUCGAACGGAAAGGCUCCUGCUUGCCGGGGUACUCGAGUGGCGAACGGGUGAGUAACACGUGGGUGAUCUGCCCUGCACUUCGGGAUAAGCCUGGGAAACUGGGUCUAAUACCGGAUAGGACGAUGGGUUGGAUGCCAUUGUGGAAAGUUUUUCGGUGUGGGAUGAGCUCGCGGCCUAUCAGCUUGUUGGUGGGGUAAUGGCCUACCAAGGCGUCGACGGGUAGCCGGCCUGAGAGGGUGUACGGCCACAUUGGGACUGAGAUACGGCCCAGACUCCUACGGGAGGCAGCAGUGGGGAAUACUGCACAAUGGGCGGAAGCCUGAUGCAGCGACGCCGCGUGGGGGAUGACGGCCUUCGGGUUGUAAACUCCUUUCGCUAGGGACGAAGCGCAAGUGACGGUACCUGGAGAAGAAGCACUGGCUAACUACGUG
RNAcentral lists this ribosomal RNA (465 nucleotides) under uncultured bacterium. RNAcentral's name for it is "partial 16S ribosomal RNA". It matches the Rfam family "Bacterial small subunit ribosomal RNA", at positions 28 to 507 of the family's 1533-position model. The record is from RNAcentral.